RNAcentral lists this ribosomal RNA (471 nucleotides) under Triticum aestivum (bread wheat). Its description in RNAcentral is "partial small subunit ribosomal RNA". Lineage: Eukaryota; Viridiplantae; Streptophyta; Magnoliopsida; Poales; Poaceae. The record is from RNAcentral.
AUGCCUCAACUUGAUAAAUUAACUUAUUUCUCACAAUUUUUCUGGUUAUGUCUUCUCCUCUUUACUUUUUAUAUUCUCUUAUUUAAUAAUAAUAAUAGAAUACUUGGAAUUAGUAGAAUUCUCAAACUACAGAACCAACUGCUUUCGCGCCGGGGGGGCAAGAUCCAGAGCAAGGACCCUAAGAAUCUGGAAUAUAUCUCGAGAAAAGGUUUUAGCACCGGUCUCUCAUAUAUUUACUCCAGUUUAUCCGAAGUAUCCCAAUGGUGUAAGACCGUCGACUAUUUGGGAAAAAGGAGGAAAAUCACUCUGAUCUCUGAUUUCGGAGAAAUAAGUGGCUCACGAGGAAUGGAGAGACAGAUUCUCUAUUUGAUCUCGAAGUCCUCAUAUAACACUUCUUCCAGUCGGAUCACUUGUUGGAAAAACAUAAUGCUCACAUAUGUUCCACACGGGCAAGGAAGCAUAGUAUUAUGA